RNAcentral lists this ribosomal RNA (466 nucleotides) under uncultured bacterium. Its description in RNAcentral is "partial 16S ribosomal RNA". It matches the Rfam family "Bacterial small subunit ribosomal RNA", at positions 28 to 507 of the family's 1533-position model. The record is from RNAcentral.
GAUGAACGCUGGCGGCGUGCUUAACACAUGCCAGUCGAACGAUGAAGCCCAGCUUGCUGGGUGGAUUAGUGGCGAACGGGUGAGUAACACGUGAGUAACCUGCCCUUAACUCUGGGAUAAGCCUGGGAAACUGGGUCUAUUACCGGUUAGGAGCGUCCACCGCAUGGUGGGUUUUGGAAAGAUUUAUCGGUUUUGGAUGGACUCGCGGCCUAUCAGCUUGUUGGUGAGGUAAUGGCUCACCAAGGCGACGACGGGUAGCCGGCCUGAGAGGGUGACCGGCCACACUGGGAUUGAGACACGGCCCAGACUCCUACGGGAGGCAGCAGUGGGGAAUAUUGCACAAUGGGCGCAAGCCUGAUGCAGCGACGCCGCGUGAGGGAUGACGGCCUUCGGGUUGUAAACCUCUUUCAGUAGGGAAGAAGCGAAAGUGACGGUACCUGCAGAAGAAGCACCGGCUAACUACGUG